AGGAAGGCGGGGCGAGUUGCCAAAAAUCCACCACGUGGGAACGGCAGACCGCACUUGGAAAACUGCGGCAUCCGCGUUCUGCUUUCUCCUUGGUGUCUCUAGUUGCGUGUUCCUUGAAGAGCCAAGAUUGUGUUUCCCAUAAGCUUCUACUUUUUAAGGAAACGAUGUGGAGGACCGAUUUCGGAGAGCAGUAACAGUUAAAUCUAGAUGGACACAAAAGUCUUGGGAGUGUUUGAAAAUGGCAUGUUGAAGAUGCCAGAGCCACAAAAUGGGAAGAAUCGCGGUUCCUAGAUUUUUGCUUGGAGGAUUGCAAGCAGCAACGGGAUUUGUUAUCGAGAAACUUCUGUGUGUGGUCAUCUACUGUAGCAGCUAGCAUUGCUUUAACAUGCUUGAUGCUGCUGGUGACCUGCAGGAAAGCUGGGGUCCUUUGCCAUCAAGCUGCAAGCAAAGAAUCUGUGAGCGAAGAAUGUGAAGGAGGAGAUUUGGCAGGAUCUGGAGGAGCUAAGUAGCUGUGAGCCUGGAUGCCUCCCCGCACCAGUAAAGUAAGCCAGCAAACCAGCAUCCCUUGCAAGCUGCUCUAGUACCAGUGCCCUACUCUGAGCUCCUUCUCUUCUGCCUUCAAAUACUGUGCAAAUUUCCCUACAGGAAAGAAAAAUUGGGGAAGUCAUUCCAAGGUCAGCUGAGUUGACACCAUACAAAGCCAGUGCAACUAACAAUGGGAAAGGUAUAGUGGAGGGACCCUCACUCACUGUUAGGAGAAACACACAUUUGUAUAACUGUGUAAAAUACUUUUAUCCCUGCAAUUCUAAUUCUAGUGAUUUACCCUGAAAAUAUACGUCUAAUACGGGGAAUGACAAACCUAAGUUCAUUCUUUGCAACAUUAUUUGCAAUAGCAGCACCAUGAAUAGUAAGGUUCAUCAGUAGAAGAUUGGUUAAGAAUCUUAACUUUACAUCUGUAUAUUGGAAAGAAUGUUCUUCUCAUGGGAAGACAUCAAAGACAUGUAAGUGAAAAAAGUCAAAAUACAGAACAGUAUAUACAGUGUGAUACCAUUUUCACUGAAAGAGGUAUUCAUGUUUGUAUAUGUAUGGAAUAUCAAUAGAAGUAAACUGAAAAUAUCAGUGGGAACACACUGAUAACAUGCUUUGCCUCCAGGAAGAGAAACUCUGUUACUGGGGGACAGAAAUUGAAUGGAGUAUUUGACUAUACAGUUUUUAAAAAAAUUACGUAUCAUGUGAAAAGUGAAAGUCACUCAGUUGUGUCCAACUCUUUGCGACCCCAUGGACUAUACAGUCCAUGGAAUUCUUCAGGCCAGAAUAUUGGAGUGGGUAGCCUUUCCCUUCUCUAGGGGAUCUUCCCAACUUAGGGAUCGAACCCAUUUCCCCCACAUUGCAGAUGGAUUCUUUACUAGCUGAGCCACACAUAUAUUAGUUAUUAAAAAAUAAAGAGUUAAUAGUAUAAACAUUUUCAUUCAAUGAGACUAUUACAUGCACUUCUUAUGUUGUUUAUUUCUGAUACACGCCUCCUGAAAGAAAAUCUUAUCUCUUUUCUCCACUUUAUGUAAAGCACAAUGUAUGUUUAUAACUGUCUAUUAAAAAUACAGUGAAAAGCCUUCUUUUAAUUUUUAAUUAGGUGAGACAUUUUUAUGACCUGGUCAAUAACCACUGAAAAUGUAUGUGGAAUCAUGAUAAAUUGUUUAAUUUCUGUCUAAAGGAAUCUUAAUAUAUAAUUUAUAUAUAUAGUCCAUUAAAUUACAUACAGCAUGGGAAUACUUGGAAUGAAGACCCCCUAAGGAAAUAUGAAAUAUGAGAAUUUUUUUCAAACUUGAGAGUAUUUAUUUCAAUCACAUCCUUUUUCAAAGAUCAAGUAGAAAUUUACUAGGGGGCUUCCCUGGCGGCUCAGAUGGUAAAGAAUCUGACUGCAAUGCGGGAGAACUGGGGUUUGAUCCCUGGGUUGGGAAGAUCCCCUGAAGUAGGGCAUGGUUACCCACUCAAAGGAUUCUUGCCUGGAAAAACCCAAGGACAGAGGAGCCUGGAAGGUUACAGUUCACGGGGUUGCAAAGAGAUACGACUGAGUGACUAACACUUUCAAAUGUCUUUUGAAACUUACUGUGCAAACUACGGAUCUGCUCAUAUGAGAAUUAGUCAUGAUUUCACUUCAGAUGAUGGUGACCUUGUCCUGUCUUUCAUUACUUCACUCUCUUGAUCAUCUUCCUCAAGAUAACCAGGAAUGAGGGUGAAAGAAAUUUUUAGAGAGGAUUAAGUUCUAACCUUAGUAAAGAAGCCAAGUUGUCUCUGGAAUACUGUAAUCAACUCUUAUUCCAUCCACUAUUCAAGAAAUAAAUAUGAUGUAUCAAAUACAGUUGAAGCCCUUUGUGUUCCCUUCUCUUACAACCCUACUGAUUUUGCUUUUUA
Molecule: long non-coding RNA, 2412 nt
Organism: Dama dama (fallow deer)
Lineage: Eukaryota; Metazoa; Chordata; Mammalia; Artiodactyla; Cervidae
Exons: 3
Source: RefSeq, a predicted model, not a curated record